This 429-nucleotide ribosomal RNA is filed under the name Verrucomicrobiota bacterium. Its description in RNAcentral is "Verrucomicrobia bacterium partial 16S ribosomal RNA". It matches the Rfam family "Bacterial small subunit ribosomal RNA", at positions 355 to 776 of the family's 1533-position model. Lineage: Bacteria; Pseudomonadati; Verrucomicrobiota. The record is from RNAcentral.
UAGGGAAUCUUCGGCAAUGGGGGGAACCCUGACCGAGCAACGCCGCGUGAGUGAAGAAGGUUUUCGGUUCGUAAAGCUCUGUUGUUAAGGAAGAACGAGUGUGAGAAUGGAAAGUUCAUGCUGUGACGGUACUUAACCAGAAAGGGACGGCUAACUACGUGCCAGCAGCCGCGGUAAUACGUAGGUCCCGAGCGUUGUCCGGAUUUAUUGGGCGUAAAGCGAGCGCAGGCGGUUAGAAAAGUCUGAAGUGAAAGGCAGUGGCUCAACCAUUGUAGGCUUUGGAAACUGUUUAACUUGAGUGCAGAAGGGGAGAGUGGAAUUCCAUGUGUAGCGAUGAAAUGCGUAGAUAUAUGGAGGAACACCGGUGGCGAAAGCGGCUCUCUGGUCUGUAACUGACGCUGAGGCUCGAAAGCGUGGGGAGCGAACAGG